RNAcentral lists this ribosomal RNA (451 nucleotides) under uncultured bacterium. RNAcentral's name for it is "partial 16S ribosomal RNA". It matches the Rfam family "Bacterial small subunit ribosomal RNA", at positions 29 to 523 of the family's 1533-position model. The record is from RNAcentral.
AACGAACGCUGGCGGCAUGCCUAACACAUGCAAGUCGAACGCGUGGAGCGAUCCACGAGUGGCGCACGGGUGAGUAACGCGUGGGAACCUGCCCUGGAGUGUGGGAUAACCCGGCGAAAGCCGGGCUAAUACCGCAUACGACCUGAGGGUGAAAGAUUUAUCGCUCUAGGAGGGGCCCGCGUCGGAUUAGCUAGUUGGUGAGGUAAUGGCUCACCAAGGCGAUGAUCCGUAGCUGGUCUGAGAGGAUGAUCAGCCACACUGGGACUGAGACACGGCCCAGACUCCUACGGGAGGCAGCAGUGGGGAAUAUUGGACAAUGGGGGCAACCUUGAUCCAGCAAUGCCGCGUGGGCGAUGAAGGCCUUCGGGUAGUAAAGCCCUUUUGCACGCGACGAUGAUGACGGUAGCGUGAGAAGAAGCCCCGGCUAACUUCGUGCCAGCCGCCGCGGUAA